AGUGGCGGACGGGUGAGUAACGCGUGGGUAACCUGCCUCAUACAGGGGGAUAACAGUUGGAAACGGCUGCUAAUACCGCAUAAGCGCACAGUACCGCAUGGUACCGUGUGAAAAACUCCGGUGGUAUGAGAUGGACCCGCGCCUGAUUAGCUAGUUGGUGGGGUAACGGCCUACCAAGGCGACGAUCAGUAGCCGACCUGAGAGGGUGACCGGCCACAUUGGGACUGAGACACGGCCCAA
Molecule: ribosomal RNA, 240 nt
Filed under: uncultured bacterium
Lineage: Bacteria
Description: partial 16S ribosomal RNA
Rfam family: Bacterial small subunit ribosomal RNA
Source: RNAcentral